This 134-nucleotide microRNA precursor is filed under the name Podarcis lilfordi (Lilford's wall lizard). The record is from RNAcentral. Lineage: Eukaryota; Metazoa; Chordata; Lepidosauria; Squamata; Lacertidae.
AGGACUGCGCGGGGGGGGGGGGGAGGAGGAGGAGGACGGAGGAUGAGGGGGAGGGAUUUAUUUCUAAUUACAGUAGCGCCCUCUCCCUCCAUCCCUCCCCCGCCUCCUCCUCUGCCCCCCCCCCCCGCAUUUCG